AGGAGCAACAGCCUAGUGGCGGGGCUAGCUCUGCAGCCCUGGAUUCAGCCCCCGCAGUAGCUCCGGAGCUCUCCGUCUGCAGCGCCUGGAGGCUCCGGGGCGGG
RNAcentral lists this microRNA precursor (104 nucleotides) under Canis lupus familiaris (dog). Its description in RNAcentral is "mir-8834 microRNA precursor family". It matches the Rfam family "mir-8834 microRNA precursor family". Lineage: Eukaryota; Metazoa; Chordata; Mammalia; Carnivora; Canidae. The record is from Rfam by way of RNAcentral.